Thalassophryne amazonica is the source of this 252-nucleotide long non-coding RNA. RefSeq lists it as uncharacterized. NCBI's taxonomy places the organism in Eukaryota, Metazoa, Chordata, Actinopteri, Batrachoidiformes, Batrachoididae. The record is from RefSeq and is a predicted model, not a curated record. The transcript is spliced from 3 exons.
UGCUUUAUGGUAUCUUUUUUGUUUUUUUUUUUCCUAAAAGCGCGGCAUAUUUAUGCAUAUACAUGACUUUACAACUGCAAUUGUACAUGCAGGAUUCUUAAUGUGGGAACCUGGAAAGAAGCCACCGCUGUCUGUCAGACAGAAAUCUGUUUCAUCGUAAACCUCCUCAUAAACACUUAAUGCCAAGAUCAACAGGUUAUUAUGCUGGUUGAAAAGCAUUUUUAAAAUUUAAAGAAAUUAGUAUAUACUGAC